CUGAUGAUCAGACGACUAGCACAGGUAUGAAUACAAAAGAUACAUUUAAAAAAAUAUAUAUUUCCCUCUCAGAAUUCAUAAAAUAAAGUGACAGAUUAUUAGCAUAAUUUACAUGAACAAGUGUAAAAAUUGAUCAGAAACAUACCUUUACUAACCGAAUAUGUGACUGUUAUCAAAAUUUUAAUCUCUCUAAAGCUUAUAUACACGUUUAAGAACACUCAAAGAAGCCCGAAACCUGAAUUGUCACCUAACUUAAAUGAUAAAUGUAUUACAUGAUUACAGUUAGUAGUAAUCUCUACAACCUGAAGAAACGCAAGCCUUUAUCAACAUUAUCUUGCCUAAAGGCAAGAAUCCCAAAUUUACAGAUCUAAAUUUCAGUCUGAGUCUAAGGUCAAGUAUUUAUUUCAUAAUAACGUAAGCUCUUUGGUAAGGGUGCUAGUCAGCUCUCAUAUAAUAUGUAUCAAGUAUAAGCAAAUUCAAUAGAUAUCAGCAUGCUGUAUUUGUUUAGGAUCCUAACUCCAUUUUACAGUAUUAAACCCAAAUCAACAGAUCCUUCACUACGGACAAAUAUCAGCUGAUUGAAUAAUCAACUAAAGGCCUGAAUCCAUUGUUGGGAGCAACAGAAAGAAAACUAUCAAAAUACACAAAGUAGCAAAUUCCACAUAUUCUAUCUAUUGGGAUGAUUUGGAGAACCAGGCUCAGGAAUUUCUCCCUGAUUUUUUUUUUCUUGUGAUGAUGAAAAGGAAAGCAAAGACCUAGCAGCAAAUGCAAAAUAAGAGCAGCGGAGUGUUGGGGGGAAGGAAAUGCUUUGAAGCUGGCUAUUCUUCGGAUCAUAGUGGUGACAACACAUGAUCCUGAUGAUCAGACGACUAGCACAGGUAUGAAUACAAAAGAUACAUUUAAAAAAAUAUAUAUUUCCCUCUCAGAAUUCAUAAAAUAAAGUGACAGAUUAUUAGCAUAAUUUACAUGAACAAGUGUAAAAAUUGAUCAGAAACAUACCUUUACUAACCGAAUAUGUGACUGUUAUGAAAAUUUUAUUCUCUCGAAAGCUUAUAUACACGUUUAAGAACACUCAAAGAAGCCCGAAACCUGAAUUGUCACCUAACUUAAAUGAUAAAUGUAUUACAUGAUUACAGUUGGUAGUAAUCUCUACAACCUGAAGAAACGCAAGCCUUUAUCAACAUUAUCUUGCCUAAAGGCAAGAAUCCCAAAUUUACAGAUCUAAAUUUCAGUCUGAGUCUAAGGUCAAGUAUUUAUUUCAUAAUAACGUAAGCUCUUUGGUAAGGGUGCUAGUCAGCUCUCAUAUAAUAUGUAUCAAGUAUAAGCAAAUUCAAUAGAUAUCAGCAUGCUGUAUAUGUUUAGGAUCCUAACUCCAUUUUACAG
RNAcentral lists this long non-coding RNA (1383 nucleotides) under Daucus carota (carrot). RNAcentral describes it as "long non-coding RNA (DCAR_LNC001707)". The record is from RNAcentral. Lineage: Eukaryota; Viridiplantae; Streptophyta; Magnoliopsida; Apiales; Apiaceae.